Long non-coding RNA from Monopterus albus (swamp eel), 810 nucleotides. RefSeq lists it as uncharacterized. The record is from RefSeq and is a predicted model, not a curated record. The transcript has 3 exons. Lineage: Eukaryota; Metazoa; Chordata; Actinopteri; Synbranchiformes; Synbranchidae.
UAUUUAUACAUUUUGGUAUUUGUAGCACUUCUGAAUUUAAAGGGCAUUCCCAGUGUUUGUGUUUGAAAACUUAGGCUUUAUCUUGAAGGGCCACUGUAAAUUGCAGAAGUCAGUAAGAUUCUCUCUCUUGGUUUACUUUGUUUCACCCACUCCUCUAACACAAGUCAUCUCUCUCCUACUUCUCUGUUCUCCAGGCGCUAGUUUACUACACUGAGAGUUUAAAAAGCACCGAUGUUCAAAUCCAACAGGGCUCCUGUCUAGCACUUAAAUACCUCAGGGCGACAGAGAGCGUGGAUCACAUAGCAGAUUUGUACAGAUCAGCAGAUGAAGAUCUUCGCAGCGCUGCCAGAGAGACGGUCCUCUCCUUUGGUAAAAAGGGCUACCUGGCCUUCCAGAGGAUGGACCAGCUUUACGCUGACAUGCAGGAGGAGGCGUACCAGAACCAAGAGACUGAGAUUACAAUUCUAUAGGAAACAAGUAUGGUCUCUUAUUCUGACGGAGCCCAACAAGAGGAGAUUCAUCUGAGAUGAACAACGUGUACGUCCCCAUGCUAAAGGUGAACGCCAGGGGUGAGAGCAGCGUCCGGUCCAAGGAUGGCGACGCCUGCUUCUCUGGAUGGAUCACACACUCCGUGAGGUUUAGGCUUUUUCCCAAAGUUUGCUUCAUCCUGUGGACACCGACGUGACUCUAGCCAAAAAUUAGAAUUUAUUUUGGUGAAAUAUGCAAAUGUGCAGUGUUUGAGUUCAAGACAAAGGAGUGCUGUUUUGUAUUUAGGUACUGUUAUGUAUUUAAUCUGAGAACAUGGGUGUG